CAGUCGCCGCGGGAAUACGAAGGGGGCUAGCGUUGCUCGGAAUUACUGGGCGUAAAGGGCGCGUAGGCGGACAGUUCAGUCGGGGGUGAAAGCCCGGGGCUCAACCUCGGAAUUGCCUUCGAUACUGGCUGUCUUGAGUAUGAGAGAGGUGUGUGGAACUCCGAGUGUAGAGGUGAAAUUCGUAGAUAUCCGGAAAAACACCAGUGGCGAAGGCGACACACUGGCUCAUUACUGACGCUGAGGCGCGAAAGCGUGGGGAGCAAACAGGACUAGAUACCCCCGUAGUCCCUGUCUCUUAUAC
Molecule: ribosomal RNA, 301 nt
Filed under: uncultured bacterium
Lineage: Bacteria
Description: partial 16S ribosomal RNA
Rfam family: Bacterial small subunit ribosomal RNA
Source: RNAcentral